UAAUUUUUCCCCUCAGUUGUAAAACCCACCCCCAUCCCAACAGCCUGCCGGACCGGAGACGACGCCGGCCGGUACAUAUAACGCCGGGUAGUUCUCCGGUGCUCUCUAUUCGGCGGCAGCAGAGAAGAAACUGAGACGCCGGUUCCCUCUGGUUCUCCGGGGCCCCUCAAUUUCUCCCUUUCUCUCUCACACAGACCGCUAACAGAGAAACAAUUUCUCUGUCACCCAAAAAUUGGUGGAUCACAUUUAACUGAACUUAAUGUUUAAUUUCUUUGAACCACACAUCAACAAGUUACCAGCUACUGUCAAGUUUGGGAAAUUGAGGGCCCAUCUCAAUUUCUCUUCUCUACUGCGGCUGGAGAGAGAGCACUGGCAGCAGAGAAAUGACCAAACAACUUUAUUUGUACAAAUAACUUCGUACUUGGCGUUAUUUGUACCGGCCGGCGUCUUCUCCGGCAAGGUCUGGCCUGGGCUCCGACAAGGUCUCCAGCGGGCUCUUGGGAUGGGGGUGGGUUUUACAACUGAGGUAAAAAAUUAUGGGUUUUGUGACUUGAGGAGAAUUAAUCAUGUGUUUUCGUUCUUGUUUGAAUUUGUGUGAUUUGCUUACGUGUUCAAUUUUAAUUGGUAAGCACAAAGGACCUGGUUUACACCAGGUCCUUAUAACAGUUAUCCUCUUAUUUAUAUAUUUUUUAAAUUUAUUAUUAAA
This is a non-coding RNA of Corylus avellana, 706 nucleotides long. The record is from RefSeq and is a predicted model, not a curated record. NCBI's taxonomy places the organism in Eukaryota, Viridiplantae, Streptophyta, Magnoliopsida, Fagales, Betulaceae.